Molecule: long non-coding RNA, 295 nt
Organism: Acomys russatus (golden spiny mouse)
Lineage: Eukaryota; Metazoa; Chordata; Mammalia; Rodentia; Muridae
Exons: 3
Source: RefSeq, a predicted model, not a curated record
CGGGGUGGGGGAAGGUGUGUGUUUCACCUUCGAACUGUCCUGGGGAGGGGCGUUUGAGAAUCUGGGAGUUCCCUUCGCACCUACUACAGCCCUGCUUACAUGAAGCCUUCGGAAAUACAGGAGAAAACCCCCAAAUUACACAGCCGUGGAAGAUGGAAGGCAGAAGCGAUUUCAGAGUUCUUGAGCAAACCUUUGCCUAGAGGAGUGAAACGGUGCUCCUGCCUGAUGUUCUGGAGUUGAGCAAGCCUGAUGCUUCCAUGGUGCGUAUGAAAGAGGGAACUUGGACUGGGGUGCU